Molecule: long non-coding RNA, 469 nt
Filed under: Phoenix dactylifera (date palm)
Lineage: Eukaryota; Viridiplantae; Streptophyta; Magnoliopsida; Arecales; Arecaceae
Description: long non-coding RNA (PDAC_LNC016311)
Source: RNAcentral
AAAGAAACAAUCUUAAAAACCCCUAAAUCAAAACAAGAAAACCCUGAGGAGGGAAAGAAACCCCGGUGAUAUCAAAAAUAUAAAAAAAAGAUGAAAUAGAUAAAAAGGAAUGACUCUCGCCUUCAUCUUGGACUUAUUCGCUUGCAGCCUUUUCUCUCUCUUUUCUCUUUCCUCCUUCUCUCCUAAUUUUACCAAGCAGAAAAAAAAAUCAGAUAAAAAGCCGAAAUUUAUGGAUUUGAAGAAAAAAAUUGUUUCGAAUCCAAGGUUUUACUUUGGAGGUCGAACGCGUACUGCUUUCUUCUCUUCGCUAAAUUGUUCUUCUUCGACAUCUUUCUCUCGCCCCCUACCUCGCUCGCUCUCUUUCUCUCUCGCCGGGGCCUUUCAGAAACCCUAGAUCCCUCGCAGCCGGAGGCGACUUAGAUUUUGGUCGGUUCCGGGUUGAACCCCGCGUCCCGAGAUUGGAAUCUGU